RNAcentral lists this ribosomal RNA (368 nucleotides) under uncultured organism. Its description in RNAcentral is "bacterial SSU rRNA". It matches the Rfam family "Bacterial small subunit ribosomal RNA", at positions 526 to 896 of the family's 1533-position model. The record is from RNAcentral.
CGUAGGUGGCAAGCGUUGUCCGGAUUUAUUGGGUUUAAAGGGUGCGUGGGCGGUCUUGUAAGUCAGUGGUGAAAUACGGCAGCUUAACUGUCGAGGUGCCAUUGAUACUGCAGGACUUGAGUACAGACGAGGUAGGCGGAAUUGACGGUGUAGCGGUGAAAUGCUUAGAUAUCGUCAAGAACACCGAUAGCGAAGGCAGCUUACUAGACUGUAACUGACGCUGAUGCACGAAAGUGUGGGGAUCAAACAGGAUUAGAUACCCUGGUAGUCCACACUGUAAACGAUGAUUACUCGAUGUUGGCGAUACACAGCCAGCGUCUUAGCGAAAGCGAUAAGUAAUCCACCUGGGGAGUACGCCGGCAACGAUG